CGAACGGUAACAGGAAGCAGCUUGCUGCUUUGCUGACGAGUGGCGGACGGGUGAGUAAUGUCUGGGAAACUGCCUGAUGGAGGGGGAUAACUACUGGAAACGGUAGCUAAUACCGCAUAACGUCGCAAGACCAAAGAGGGGGACCUUCGGGCCUCUUGCCAUCGGAUGUGCCCAGAUGGGAUUAGCUAGUAGGUGGGGUAACGGCUCACCUAGGCGACGAUCCCUAGCUGGUCUGAGAGGAUGACCAGCCACACUGGAACUGAGACACGGUCCAGACUCCUACGGGAGGCAGCAGUGGGGAAUAUUGCACAAUGGGCGCAAGCCUGAUGCAGCCAUGCCGCGUGUAUGAAGAAGGCCUUCGGGUUGUAAAGUACUUUCAGCGGGGAGGAAGGGAGUAAAGUUAAUACCUUUGCUCAUUGACGUUACCCGCAGAAGAAGCACCGGCUAACUCCGUGCCAGCAGCCGCGGUAAUACGGAGGGUGCAAGCGUUAAUCGGAAUUACUGGGCGUAAAGCGCACGCAGGCGGUUCGUUAAGUCAGAUGUGAAAUCCCCGGGCUCAACCUGGGAACUGCAUCUGAUACUGGCAAGCUUGAGUCUCGUAGAGGGGGGUAGAAUUCCAGGUGUAGCGGUGAAAUGCGUAGAGAUCUGGAGGAACACCGGUGGCGAAAGCGGCUCUCUGG
RNAcentral lists this ribosomal RNA (680 nucleotides) under uncultured Pseudomonadota bacterium. RNAcentral describes it as "bacterial SSU rRNA". It matches the Rfam family "Bacterial small subunit ribosomal RNA", at positions 63 to 732 of the family's 1533-position model. The record is from RNAcentral. Lineage: Bacteria; Pseudomonadati; Pseudomonadota.